Syzygium oleosum is the source of this 161-nucleotide long non-coding RNA. RefSeq lists it as uncharacterized. The transcript is spliced from 2 exons. Lineage: Eukaryota; Viridiplantae; Streptophyta; Magnoliopsida; Myrtales; Myrtaceae. The record is from RefSeq and is a predicted model, not a curated record.
CAGGCCAUGUUUCUUGCCCGCGUUGAAGUACACGCCUCAGGCUCAACACCUACCACCUACUGCGCAACCCGCGUUGAAGUACACGCCUCAGGCUGGUAGUCUUCCGGUAUUACCAGGCAUCGUCCCGCGUUGAAGUACACGCCUCAGGACGGCACAAUUUC